RNAcentral lists this ribosomal RNA (468 nucleotides) under uncultured bacterium. RNAcentral describes it as "partial 16S ribosomal RNA". It matches the Rfam family "Bacterial small subunit ribosomal RNA", at positions 28 to 507 of the family's 1533-position model. The record is from RNAcentral.
GACGAACGCUGGCGGCGUGCUUAACACAUGCAAGUCGAACGGAAAGGCCCUGCUUUUGUGGGGUGCUCGAGUGGCGAACGGGUGAGUAACACGUAAGUAACCUGCCCUUGACUUUGGGAUCACUUCAGGAAACUGGAUCUAAUACCGGAUAGGAGCUCCUGCUGCAUGGUGGGGGUUGGAAAGUUUCGGCGGUUGGGGAUGGACUCGCGGCUUAUCAGCGUGUGGGUGGGGUAGUGGCUUACCAAGGCUUUGACGGGUAGCCGGCCUGAGAGGGUGACCGGCCACAUUGGGACUGAGAUACGGAGCAGACUCCUACGGGAGGCAGCAGGGGGGAAUAUGGUACAAUGGGCGGAAGCCUAAUGAAGCAACGCCGCGUGUGGGAUGUCGGCCUUCGGGUUGUAAAACGCUUUCGCCUGUGACGAAGCGUGAGUGACGGUAAUGGGUAAAGAAGCACCGGCUAACUACGUG